GAUGAACGCUAGCGACAGGCUUAACACAUGCAAGUCGAGGGGCAGCAUAGAAGUAGCAAUACUUUGGUGGCGACCGGCGCACGGGUGAGUAACGCGUAUGCAACCUACCUAUCAGAGGGGAAUAACCCGGCGAAAGUCGGACUAAUACCGCAUAAAACAGGGGCACCGCACGGUGAUAUUUGUUAAAGAAAUUCGCUGAUAGAUGGGCAUGCGUUCCAUUAGGUAGUUGGUGAGGUAACGGCUCACCAAGCCGACGAUGGAUAGGGGAACUGAGAGGUUGGUCCCCCACACUGGUACUGAGACACGGACCAGACUCCUACGGGAGACAGCAGUGAGGAAUAUUGGUCAAUGGGCGAGAGCCUGAACCAGCCAAGUCGCGUGAAGGAAGAAGGAUCUAUGGUUCGUAAACUUCUUUUGCAGGGGAAUAAAGUGCAGGACGUGUCCUGUUUUGUAUGUACCCUGAGAAUAAGGAUCGGCUAACUCCGUGCCAGCCGCCGCGGUAA
Molecule: ribosomal RNA, 503 nt
Filed under: uncultured bacterium
Lineage: Bacteria
Description: partial 16S ribosomal RNA
Rfam family: Bacterial small subunit ribosomal RNA
Source: RNAcentral